GGGAGCAUAGCUCAGAUGGUAAAGCGCUCGCUUAGAAUGCGAGAGGCACGGGGCUUGAUACACCGCGCCUCCA
Molecule: non-coding RNA, 73 nt
Organism: Trichonephila clavipes
Lineage: Eukaryota; Metazoa; Arthropoda; Arachnida; Araneae; Nephilidae
Source: the annotation of a GenBank genome assembly